AGUGAACGCUGGCGGUAGGCCUAACACAUGCAAGUCGAACGGCAGCACAGUAAGAGCUUGCUCUUACGGGUGGCGAGUGGCGGACGGGUGAGGAAUACAUCGGAAUCUACUUUUUCGUGGGGGAUAACGUAGGGAAACUUACGCUAAUACCGCAUACGACCUACGGGUGAAAGCAGGGGAUCUUCGGACCUUGCGCGAUUGAAUGAGCCGAUGUCGGAUUAGCUAGUUGGCGGGGUAAGGGCCCACCAAGGCGACGAUCCGUAGCUGGUCUGAGAGGAUGAUCAGCCACACUGGAACUGAGACACGGUCCAGACUCCUACGGGAGGCAGCAGUGGGGAAUAUUGGACAAUGGGCGCAAGCCUGAUCCAGCCAUACCGCGUGGGUGAAGAAGGCCUUCGGGUUGUAAAGCCCUUUUGUUGGGAAAGAAAAGCAGCAGGUUAAUACCCCGCUGCUCUGACGGUACCCAAAGAAUAAGCACCGGCUAACUUCGUG
Molecule: ribosomal RNA, 492 nt
Filed under: uncultured bacterium
Lineage: Bacteria
Description: partial 16S ribosomal RNA
Rfam family: Bacterial small subunit ribosomal RNA
Source: RNAcentral